This 763-nucleotide ribosomal RNA is filed under the name uncultured Streptococcus sp. Its description in RNAcentral is "bacterial SSU rRNA". It matches the Rfam family "Bacterial small subunit ribosomal RNA", at positions 28 to 776 of the family's 1533-position model. Lineage: Bacteria; Bacillati; Bacillota; Bacilli; Lactobacillales; Streptococcaceae. The record is from RNAcentral.
GACGAACGCUGGCGGCGUGCCUAAUACAUGCAAGUAGAACGCUGAAGGAGGAGCUUGCUUCUCCGGAUGAGUUGCGAACGGGUGAGUAACGCGUAGGUAACCUGCCUGGUAGCGGGGGAUAACUAUUGGAAACGAUAGCUAAUACCGCAUAACAGUAGAUAUUGCAUGACAACUGCUUGAAAGGUGCAAUUGCAUCACUACCAGAUGGACCUGCGUUGUAUUAGCUAGUUGGUGAGGUAACGGCUCACCAAGGCGACGAUACAUAGCCGACCUGAGAGGGUGAUCGGCCACACUGGGACUGAGACACGGCCCAGACUCCUACGGGAGGCAGCAGUAGGGAAUCUUCGGCAAUGGACGGAAGUCUGACCGAGCAACGCCGCGUGAGUGAAGAAGGUUUUCGGAUCGUAAAGCUCUGUUGUAAGAGAAGAACGAGUGUGAGAGUGGAAAGUUCACACUGUGACGGUAUCUUACCAGAAAGGGACGGCUAACUACGUGCCAGCAGCCGCGGUAAUACGUAGGUCCCGAGCGUUGUCCGGAUUUAUUGGGCGUAAAGCGAGCGCAGGCGGUUAGAUAAGUCUGAAGUUAAAGGCUGUGGCUUAACCAUAGUACGCUUUGGAAACUGUUUAACUUGAGUGCAAGAGGGGAGAGUGGAAUUCCAUGUGUAGCGGUGAAAUGCGUAGAUAUAUGGAGGAACACCGGUGGCGAAAGCGGCUCUCUGGCUUGUAACUGACGCUGAGGCUCGAAAGCGUGGGGAGCAAACAGG